This 490-nucleotide ribosomal RNA is filed under the name uncultured bacterium. RNAcentral's name for it is "partial 16S ribosomal RNA". It matches the Rfam family "Bacterial small subunit ribosomal RNA", at positions 29 to 507 of the family's 1533-position model. The record is from RNAcentral.
AGUGAACGCUGGCGGUAGGCCUAACACAUGCAAGUCGAACGGCAGCACAGUAAGAGCUUGCUCUUACGGGUGGCGAGUGGCGGACGGGUGAGGAAUACAUCGGAAUCUACUUUUUCGUGGGGGAUAACGUAGGGAAACUUACGCUAAUACCGCAUACGACCUACGGGUGAAAGCAGGGGAUCUUCGGACCUUGCGCGAUUGAAUGAGCCGAUGUCGGAUUAGCUAGUUGGCGGGGUAAAGGCCCACCAAGGCGACGAUCCGUAGCUGGUCUGAGAGGAUGAACCCACACAGUAAAAGAGACACGGUCCAGACUCCUACGGGAGGCAGCAGUGGGGAAUAUUGGACAAUGGGCGCAAGCCUGAUCCAGCCAUACCGCGUGGGUGAAGAAGGCCUUCGGGUUGUAAAGCCCUUUUGUUGGGAAAGAAAAGCAGCAGGUUAAUACCCCGCUGUUCUGACGGUACCCAAAGAAUAAGCACCGGCUAACUUCGUG